UUGUUAAUGUUAAUUUAAGAUUGAUCCUGUCUUGUUAUGAUUGGCUGUAUUUGGAUAAUAUUAUAUAUAAGUUUUUGCGUGUUUUAAGUAGGUAAUCUAAAGGAUUCCUAUUUGUUUAUAGUUGUAGUUUUUAAUUUUGAGUAUCACAUAGGUGUGGACUUAGUUAAUUGAAUAUAGAAUUGUUUAAGGUUGUGCCAGCUUACGCGGUUACACAUCCAAUUCAAGUUAAUCUUUUUGGUUUAUAUUAAUUUUAUUUUUGUUUGGGAAUUAAAUUUGUUUUAUUAAGUGAAAUUUUUAAUUCAGAUUAUAUUU
This 312-nucleotide ribosomal RNA is filed under the name Amorbus alternatus. Its description in RNAcentral is "partial small subunit ribosomal RNA". The record is from RNAcentral. Lineage: Eukaryota; Metazoa; Arthropoda; Insecta; Hemiptera; Coreidae.